This is an RNA transcript of Salmo salar (Atlantic salmon), 1322 nucleotides long. It is a transcript of the gene named electron transfer flavoprotein subunit alpha, mitochondrial, with no coding region annotated. Lineage: Eukaryota; Metazoa; Chordata; Actinopteri; Salmoniformes; Salmonidae. The record is from RefSeq and is a predicted model, not a curated record.
ACGCGGAGAGAUCAGAGUACAUUGCUCUCGCGAGAUACAAGAGUGGAGAAUGAACUGAUGCCUCUCAGCUGUCUCUUUGUUUAGAUCAAGAUAAAUAGCUAGCAAAAAUGUAGCUGAUUAGCUAGAAAGCUAACCAGUUAUGUUUACAGCAAUAAACAGGAGAAGUUUGGGACAAUUGGUUGCAGACCAGAUCAGUAAAGUCCACGGGGUCAAGAAGAUUCUUGUGGCUCAACAUGACUGCUACAAAGGACUGUUACCAGAGGAAUUGACUCCUUUGAUUCUUGCUACCCAGAAACAGUUCACCUUCACACACAUCUGUGCAGGAGCUUCUGCUUUUGGGAAGAAUCUCCUUCCCAGAGUGUCAGCCAAGCUGGAUGUUGCAACUCUCUCUGACAUCACCGAGGUCAAAUCUCAAGACACCUUCGUUAGAACAAUUUACGCUGGUAAUGCCCUGGCCACAGUGAAGUGCAAUGAGGAAGUCAAGGUGUUCACAGUGAGGGGAACUUCCUUUGAACCUGCUGCUGUGGAGCGAGGCAGUGCUGCUACUGAACAGGUUGCCUCACCCUCUCCUGCGGGGAUGUCAGAAUGGCUUGAGCAGAGCCUGACCAAGAGCGAUCGACCAGAGCUCACUAGUGCCAAAGUGGUAGUGUCUGGAGGACGAGGGCUGAAGAGCGGUGAGAACUUCAAACUGCUGUACGACCUCGCUGACAAAAUGGGCGCUGCAGUGGGGGCUUCCAGAGCUGCUGUGGAUGCUGGCUACGUCCCCAAUGACAUGCAGGUUGGCCAGACUGGCAAGAUUGUAGCACCUGAACUCUACAUCGCAGUGGGCAUCUCUGGAGCUAUUCAGCACCUGGCUGGGAUGAAGGACAGCAAGUUGACCCACUUUUACAACAAGUGGAGGGCAGAAUACGUCUGUCCCUGGAAGAGAACUGUUUUAUGUAAAUGAAAAAUGGAAAAACUCUUUCGUAGCCAUGACAACAGUCUCCUGAGUGGAUUUCUUCCACCAAGAUAAUCGUUGCCAUCAACAAAGAUCCAGAGGCACCUAUUUUCCAGGCUGUUCCUGAGAUGACUGCAGCAUUGAAGAAGUGAUCGCCAUCAUGAUCCAACCAAGAUCCUAUAAUACUCCGAAAUCUGAAGACGAAAGAUUAACCCCUUAUAAGCUGCCAGUUUUAACUACCCAAAAGAAAAUCCUGCCUUAAACUGCAUUUCAUGCUUCUUGUGCAUUUUGAAAUAGGUGCUUAAAAUGUCUAGAUCUAAUACAUCUUUGAUUGUGAUAUCAUUUUAAUGAAUAAUAAAGCUAGUGGAUACGCUACAAUGUCUCA